Triticum aestivum (bread wheat) is the source of this 134-nucleotide non-coding RNA. The record is from Rfam. Lineage: Eukaryota; Viridiplantae; Streptophyta; Magnoliopsida; Poales; Poaceae.
CAUAUACUCCCUCCGUCCCAAAUUACUUGUCUUAGAUUUGUCUAGAUAUGGAUGUAUCUAGACACGCUUUAGUGUUACACACAUCCGUAUUUAGACAAAUCUAAGAUAAGUAUUUAGUACGGAGGUAAUAUAAU